CCCGCUGAACUUAAGCAUAUCAAUAAGCGGAGGAAAAGAAACUAACAAGGAUUCCCCUAGUAACUGCGAGUGAAGCGGGAAAAGCUCAAAUUUUAAAUCUGGCGGCCCCGCCGCCCGAGUUGUAUUCUGGAGAAGCGUCUUCCGCGCCGGACCGUGUACAAGUGCCUUGGAACAGGACGUCACAGAGGGUGAGAAUCCCGUCUUUGACACGGACCCCCGGCGCUCUGCGAUGCGCUCUCGAAGAGUCGAGUUGUAUUGGGAAUGCUAGCUCACAACGGGUGGUAAAUUCCAUAUAGAAGACUAAAUAUUGGCGAGAGAACCGAUAGCGAACAAGUACCCUGAGGGAAAGAUGAAAAGCACUUUGGAAAGAGAGUAAAACAAUACCUGAAAUUGUUGAAAGGGAAACGCUUGAAGUCAGUCGCGUUGGCCGGAACUCAGCCUUGCUUCCGCUUCGCGCUCUUUCCUGUCCGACGGGCCAGCAUGCGGUUUCGUGCGGCGGACACUGGCGGGAGGAAUGUGGCGGCCCUGGCGCGCGUUAUAGCCUCCCGUCGCGAACGCCCCGUGGGGCCGAUGACUCCGGCGCGAGCCUGGGAUGCUGGCAUAAUGGCUUUAAGCGACCCGUCUUGAAACACGG
This 634-nucleotide ribosomal RNA is filed under the name uncultured fungus. Its description in RNAcentral is "eukaryotic LSU rRNA". It matches the Rfam family "Eukaryotic large subunit ribosomal RNA", at positions 24 to 664 of the family's 3401-position model. Lineage: Eukaryota; Fungi. The record is from RNAcentral.